AGGACGAACGCUGGCGGCGUGCCUAACACAUGCAAGUCGAGCGAGGAGAUCCUUCGGGAUGAUCCUAGCGGCGGACGGGUGAGUAACACGUGGGCAACCUGCCUCAUAGAGAGGAAUAGCCUUCCGAAAGGGAGAUUAAUACCUCAUAACAUUGCAGUUUCGCAUGAAACAGCAAUUAAAGGAGCAAUCCGCUAUGAGGUGGGCCCCGCGGCGCAUUAGCUAGUUGGUGAGGUAACGGCUCACCAAGGCGACGAUGCGUAGCCGACCUGAGAGGGUGAUCGGCCACAUUGGGACUGAGACACGGCCCAGACUCCUACGGGAGGCAGCAGUGGGGAAUAUUGCACAAUGGGGGAAACCCUGAUGCAAGCAACGCCGCGUGAGUGAUGACGGCCUUCGGGUUGUAAAGCUCUGUCUUCAGGGACGAUAAUGACGGUACCUGAGGAGGAAGCCACGGCUAACUACGUGCCAGCAGCGGC
RNAcentral lists this ribosomal RNA (476 nucleotides) under uncultured bacterium. RNAcentral's name for it is "bacterial SSU rRNA". It matches the Rfam family "Bacterial small subunit ribosomal RNA", at positions 26 to 518 of the family's 1533-position model. The record is from RNAcentral.